Long non-coding RNA from Clupea harengus (Atlantic herring), 1734 nucleotides. The record is from Ensembl. Lineage: Eukaryota; Metazoa; Chordata; Actinopteri; Clupeiformes; Clupeidae.
GCAGCCAUAGUACACAUACAUACAACCGAUUUUUCAUCUGCUCCUAAUAUUGUACUGAUGUCAUACCCUAGGCAGUGAAGCCACCCAAUAAACUGAGACUAUGUACUAGGGGUGGGCGAUAUGGCCAAAAUCUUCUAUCACGGUAUUUGUAAUUUUAUAUCACGGUUACGGUAUAUAUCACGGUUUAUUAUACGUAGGUUUGAGUUUGUGAAAAAGAGGACACUUCAGCGGUGGCGAAAUGUGUCCACAGACAUAGGCUAUACAGUAUGAUCAUUUAUUUAUUGACCCUUAAGAACACUAAGGUGCAGAAACAAUACUGCCUCAAUAGGCUAUUGGCCUAAGCAAUAGUGGCCAGUAUAUGCCUACUUUGUACUGAACGUUUCCAUUGAAUCUUUAAAUAGUAAGAUUAAAACAAAGUGCAUGUAGUGGCAUUUAGUCCAGUGCUUAUGUGGCUUUCAGUGGUUCAUUAAUGUACUUUCAGAAGAUAAAUCAAGUGUUAACUUUCUUUUCAAUGUGUGUUCAUAUGUUAACGCAAUAAUGAUGAGAAAAACAUUUUCUUAUAUGGCCACAUAUUAAAAUAAGAAAAUUAAGAAGUUGGCAAUUACACAUAGACGCCCCAUUGACCGCUUCAACCCGUUGCUGCGACGUGCGCACGUCGCCGCAAUAUUGGUGAGGUGAAGCCUGUAAACAAACGCAAGUAAACGAUGGAGCUGCGUUUUUUCUGCAUAAAAAGCACUUUAGCGUUUACAUUUCUCAACCGAUUUCACUGAGUCGUUUUUAUAUUCAAGGGUUUAUGAUCUAGGUGGAGUACCAAAACAAGUUUUGUCUCCAUGUUACUUAGAAUCUCGACGGUUAUAAUGUAUAUGUCUAUGAUAAUCGCUGCUAGACGCUCACUGUUCUUGUGCUCCCACAGCUCCUUCACUAUGAAAUACUGAAAAUAAAUCUAAACUAUCGAAAUAGUGCAUCUUUAACUACUAAUAUUUGACCAUCAUUGAGAAAAAUGGAACAGAAUCUGCAAAUAAAUGGCUACACUAGACACUUUUCAGUCCAUAUUUUUCAGUAGAUCUUUCAGUAGAAUCUUUCCCAACAGUCGAGGAUUACUCAACAAGUAGGCAUGACAGUCCUUGUAGGUCAUGUGCUUAAAAAUUGUACUAGGUAUCGUAUUAUACGGCUCUUCAGAAUGUUAAAAAAAGUUCAGUUGAUUUGAAUGGGCCACCCCAACGUUUGCAGGUCUGUCAUUUCUUUAUAUUCACUGCUGCGAAAAAGUAAUGACCAUCAUUGGCAACGGAUUUUGUGCUUUAAUUUACGUCUUUCAUAUCAUAUCAUUCCGCAAGUAGUCCGGUCAUUUAACGUAACUUGAAGUCAGCAAGUAAUGGGUUGCUACGCAACACUUGAAACUUGAAAGUUCUAUUUGCCUGAAGAACUAUUUUUUCUAAACGGAAAUCACAAAACGGCAUCAAAAUCGUUAAAGAGGUAUUUUGGAGGAAUGUCUUCUGUCGUUUUGGGGAGUAACUGUUGAUGGAACUGCAUAUUGAUGUUUUCCUGGCCUGAUUUGUUGUUGCAUGGUGGUUCUUGUGUGAGCAUAUAAAUGCUCAUAUAGGGGACUGAUGGAACUGCAAAAUAGCUAUUCUACUGUUGUUCUGUAUCAUUUGUAUCUUUAACAUAUAUUGAUGUUUCCUGCUCUGAUUGGCUGUUGCAUGGUGGUUAUUGUGUGAGCAUAUAAAUGCUCAUAUA